UUUUUGUUUAUUUUGUGUGAUUUAUUUAAUAUUUAUUUACAUUUGCUUUUCAUUAGAAAUCGUGCUCCUUAUCGCACACAUGAAUCGCACUCGUAUUCGUACUCGUAAAUAUUUUAUAGUCGAUUCUGUUUACAACUCGCGCCCAUAGCCCAUGUCCACGCGCCGCUCAAGUGAUUCGCCGCUUGUGGAAACGAAACGAAACGAAACGAGUUCGAGUUCGAGUGCGAAUCAAAUUGAAUCCGCUGACACUGCGAAUUCAGUGCGUGUUGCAGCGAGUUGAAAGGUCACAGGACACAGGACACAGGACACACACGCAUCCCAUGACCCACACAAAGCGAGAGUGCAACGGCCCCCGAGCGGGCGGUGGGCGUGUUCAAGGCCGCGUCUCGCCUCGACCAGACAGAGUCCAGACAGGUCUACCCCCCGGCCAGGCCCAGUUCAGCCCCAGUUCAGCCCCAGUCCAGGGCCCGAAUUCCAGCCCGAGCCGCGGCGCAGACUGAGACUGAGCGGAGCCAUUGGCCGCUCUCGGCACUCGGUAGAGAUUAGAGAUGUGCACAUGGCGGCGGCUCCGUUCCGUUUU
This 580-nucleotide long non-coding RNA is filed under the name Drosophila guanche. The record is from RNAcentral. Lineage: Eukaryota; Metazoa; Arthropoda; Insecta; Diptera; Drosophilidae.